Molecule: long non-coding RNA, 968 nt
Filed under: Triticum aestivum (bread wheat)
Lineage: Eukaryota; Viridiplantae; Streptophyta; Magnoliopsida; Poales; Poaceae
Description: long non-coding RNA (TAES_LNC027977)
Source: RNAcentral
AUCGCCUGAACACGCGCAGACCACGUCGCCAUCGCCGGAGCUCACCGAAGCUGGAGAAGACGCCAUGCCCACAGGCCGCCUCAGGGGUACAGGAACCCCCGCCAUAAAGGUUUUGAAGCCGCAUGAGCCACCCGACGCCGGGCGGGAUCUCAAGUCGAUGAACGCAUAUCGGCGGCGACACCAAGAGCCAACCACGGCAUCAGCAUACUCCGAGAGAACGACACUCUACGGACGGAACCGGAGAGGAAGAAGACGACCAGCAUCUCUUGAGAGGGAAUCAAACCUGCAGCUCAACCAAACACCUCCUACACUCCAGGACCCCACCUCCACGCCACCGAUGGAUACUUCGCCGGCGCAACAACAAAGAGGAGGGGGAGAUAGAUACUCACAUCGCCAGGACGGCGAAGCCGCCACACCGCCCUGCCUGAGAAUCCAAUAACUCGCGGGAUCUACAGAUCCGUGAGGACCAAAAUCACUUCUCCAUCCGACGGCGCCACCAUCGGAGGGGAAGGCCGAGACACCGCUCGAUCCGUAGAUCAGCAGGAGAUACACGCCGCUCAAUCCCCAACAAAUCAACAACAAGCAAAGAUUUAUUGGACGGAGAAGGAACGAGCGACCAAAAAUCCUUCGGCAACGGCGACCUCACCGUAAGCCGCCACCACCAGGAGCACGUCGGACAGGCAGCCGACCCCCGGCCGGCCAACCACCACCACCCACGAGCUCGACGACGCCACACCGGAGGAGAGCAUCGCCAUGGGGAAAGCUGUGGGACGAAACAUGUCGCCGCCGCCGCCACCCCCAUAGCACUGACGACGAUCAGGCAAAACAAGCUAUUUACACACCGGACGCGCGGAUCCGAGGUUUCCCCACCCUCCCGCCGCCGAAGCGGCCGGCGGAGGGGAGGGAAACCAGCGGCGGCGCCGGCGGAUCGACGGGAAAAAUCAGUCGCUUCCCUUUCACCUCGCACA